RNAcentral lists this ribosomal RNA (506 nucleotides) under uncultured Paludibacter sp. Its description in RNAcentral is "bacterial SSU rRNA". It matches the Rfam family "Bacterial small subunit ribosomal RNA", at positions 521 to 1029 of the family's 1533-position model. Lineage: Bacteria; Pseudomonadati; Bacteroidota; Bacteroidia; Bacteroidales; Paludibacteraceae. The record is from RNAcentral.
UAAGACGAAGGAUCCAAGCGUUGUCCGGAUUUACUGGGUUUAAAGGGAGCGUAGGCGGAUUAAUAAGUCAGUGGUGAAAGCCUUCAGCUUAACUGAAGAACUGCCAUUGAAACUGUUAGUCUCGAGUACGGCUGAGGUGACUGGAAUGUAACAUGUAGCGGUGAAAUGCUUAGAUAUGUUACAGAACACCAAUUGCGAAGGCAGGUCACUAAACCGUAACUGACGCUGAGGCUCGAAAGCGUGGGGAGCAAACAGGAUUAGAUACCCUGGUAGUCCACGCCCUAAACGUUGAAUACUCGGUCUUGGCGAUACACAGUCAGGGCCCAAGCGAAAGCGUUAAGUAUUCCACCUGGGAAGUACGUUCGCAAGAAUGAAACUCAAAGAAAUUGACGGGGGCCCGCACAAGCGGAGGAGCAUGUGGUUUAAUUCGAUGAUACGCGAGGAACCUUACCUGGGCUUGAAUGUGAGUGACCGAAGCAGAAAUGUUUCUUUCCCGCAAGGGACAC